RNAcentral lists this ribosomal RNA (460 nucleotides) under uncultured bacterium. RNAcentral describes it as "partial 16S ribosomal RNA". It matches the Rfam family "Bacterial small subunit ribosomal RNA", at positions 338 to 795 of the family's 1533-position model. The record is from RNAcentral.
CCUACGGGUGGCAGCAGUGAGGAAUAUUGGUCAAUGGGCGCGAGCCUGAACCAGCCAAGUAGCGUGAAGGAUGACUGCCCUACGGGUUGUAAACUUCUUUUAUAAAGGAAUAAAGUGAGGCACGUGUGCCGUUUUAUAUGUACUUUAUGCAUAAGGAUCGGCUAACUCCGUUCCAGCAGCCGCGGUAAUACGGAGGAUCCGAGCGUUAUCCGGAUUUAGUGGGUUUAAAGGGAGCGUAGAUGGGUUGUUAAGUCAGUUGUGAAAGUUUGCGGCUCAACCGUACAAUUGCAAAUGAUACUGGCAGUCUUGAGUACAGUUGAGGUAGGCGGAAUUCGUGGUGUAGCGGUGAAAUGCUUAGAUAUCACGAAGAACUCCGAUUGCGAAGGCAGCUUACUAAACUGCCACUGACAUUGAUGCUCGAAAGUGUGGGUAUCAAACAGGAUUAGAUACCCGGGUAGUC